UAAGCAAGAGGAACAGAGGUCCAGC
This 25-nucleotide non-coding RNA is filed under the name Rattus norvegicus (Norway rat). The record is from RNAcentral. Lineage: Eukaryota; Metazoa; Chordata; Mammalia; Rodentia; Muridae.